UACGGAAGGGGCAAGCGUUGUUCGGAAUCAUUGGGCGUAAAGGGCGCGCAGGUGGCUCUGUAUGUCUGCCGUGAAAGCAUACAGCUCAACUGUAUUGUGUCGGUAGAAACUGCAGGACUUGAGGCCGGGAGGGGCUGGUGGAAUUCCCUGUGUAGCGGUGAAAUGCGUAGAGAUGGGGGAGAACACUCGUGGCGAAGGCGGCCAGCUAGACCAGUUCUGACACUGAGGCGCGACAGCGUGGGGAGCAAACAGG
This 253-nucleotide ribosomal RNA is filed under the name uncultured bacterium. RNAcentral's name for it is "partial 16S ribosomal RNA". It matches the Rfam family "Bacterial small subunit ribosomal RNA", at positions 524 to 776 of the family's 1533-position model. The record is from RNAcentral.